UUUUGUUGAAGGCCAGUACCACUACCGCCAGUCCCUUUUUUUUUUCUUGGGGAUAUUCAGAGCUCAGCGCUAAGAGAGAUAUGAGCGGUACUUCAGGUCUUCUUCAGCUAUGGCAAGUUCCGUCCUCAUCACUGUUUUUCGGCCGUUCCAAGCUUUCCAAAGGUCUGUACUUGGUUCCUGUACGUGUUUUGUAUCCAAUGUCAUGUUUUUGUAAGCAAAUGCAAACUACUACGUAUGCAAUUGCUAAAGGAAGCUAUGUAUCAAAUCCACAGAACCAACAAGAAAACAAAGAAAAAUUGACACCUAAGGUAGAAAAUGUAGGUGCAUUUCAAAAAUUACCCAUGGUAAUGCCGUCUGUAGAUAUUCUACAUUCAGCACUGAGGAAAGCAAGGAGGGUCUCGCCUACAAAGGGCAUUGCUAAUGCUGCAAAACGUGAGAGAAAUAAAGGCGCAAAACAACUUGACGCAUUAAUGAAGGAGUUGGCUGUGCCCUUGAGGACAUACAAAGAGAACUUCCCAAACAAAAAAUAUUUGCACCCUUAUGAACGAUCUUUGAUUGAGUUAACGCUCGGAGACGGAAACUAUGAAAAUGUAUUGGGAAAGUUAGAAGCUUUAAGGAAAAAGGUGGUAUCAGUUGGAAAGGAACAUGCAUCAUUAUGUGCUAAGUCAUUAUCUAAACGAGAAGCAGAGGAGCGACUGAAUGAGGGAUUGAAAAGAAUUGAGGAAAUAUUUGAUGGUGAUGGAAAAGCUGUUGAUGAACUAUUGAACAUUGCCAAGACAUUACGGGCAAUGCCAGUUGUCGAUCUGGAAACACCAACUCUCUGUCUUGUUGGUGCUCCCAAUGUCGGAAAAUCAUCUUUGGUUCGCGUACUUUCGACAGGGAAGCCUGAGAUCUGCAACUAUCCCUUCACUACUAGAGGAAUUCUGAUGGGUCAUAUUAAUUUGAGUUACCAGAAUUUUCAGGUUACUGAUACCCCUGGUAUCUUAAGGAGAUCUGAUGAGGAAAGGAAUAACUUGGAAAAGUUAACACUUGCUGUUCUCACUCAUUUGCCAACUGCAGUACUUUAUGUUCAUGAUUUAUCUGGAGAAUGUGGGAUGUCACCUUCUGAUCAGUUUGUGAUCUAUAAGGAAAUGCGAGAGAGAUUCAGCAGCCAUAUUUGGCUUGAUGUCGUGUCCAAAUGUGACUUACUGCAAGCAUCUCCUGUCAUCUUUGCAACAGAUGAUUGUAAUGUUGAUAACUUUGAGCUAAUGAGGUAUAGGAAGAUGGGACCUGAUGAAGCCCUAAAUGUGUCGGUAAAGAAUGAGAUUGGUCUUCAUGAGUUGAAGAAAAGAGUUUACGAGCUGCUUGUUUCUCAAUCAGAAAGGAUCAAAAAUCAAAAGAGCAAGGAGGAAGAGCUGGAAGUUCCAAGCUAGUUGGUCUUAUGAAUUCCUAACAGAUCUGUAACCUGCUAGAAAUUGGCUGCAGGUUUUUGCGCUUGGUAAUUAGCUGGAUCAUGUAUAUACACUUGUACAUUAGUGAGUCGAUCUGUAGUGACACUAACACACAUUUGCAGGUCCAAGAAUACAACAUGUUUCUUGGCGUAUUUCUCGGGCAGUUGGACAAUGAGGUCAGUCCUCUUUUGCUUCGCUCCAAAUCUCAUCUAUAAGAUAUUCAGAUCAUUUGUCAAAUGGUGCAGAUGGGGUUGCCAUAUAUGUCACAUUCCAUUCUGUAGCUUUUCAACAUUUUGGCAACUUGAUGCUUCCUCGACCAUGAUGGAGUCCAAACUACAAAGGAAGUCCGACAGAUGAAUUUCAAUGUCAUCUGAGGAGAAACUGCAAGUUUUACUGUUGUGGCCAGGUUUACCACAUUUUCUACAAUCAACUGAUUUUUGUUUCCGUUUUAACUUCAUCCUGCUAGCCCCUGGCUCAUCAUCUUCUUUCCUUCUUAAUUUUUGUUUCUUUCCUUUCUUCUUAUUAUUCAAGUAAGACAGUGGAAAUGGUGGAGGAUUCAGUGACUUAGGCCAUAAAUCAGGGCCAUUCAUGGGCAAUAUUGAAGCUUCAUAAAUUUUUC
Solanum tuberosum (potato) is the source of this 2049-nucleotide RNA transcript. It is a transcript of the gene named nucleolar GTP-binding protein 1, with no coding region annotated. NCBI's taxonomy places the organism in Eukaryota, Viridiplantae, Streptophyta, Magnoliopsida, Solanales, Solanaceae. The transcript is spliced from 15 exons. The record is from RefSeq and is a predicted model, not a curated record.